GAUUUUCAUUUUCUUACUGCACUUAAAACUUUAAUUUUGGUGGAAGAAAGGGUAUCAGAGGGAAGAUCCAUUUAUUACUGAGAUUUACAUGCUGUUUGGGCUGAGUUUCAGAGCUAUGCAAAAGUCUUAUGCUGUCUGUGCUGAGUCAUGUGUCCAUCCCUGCCUUCCUGACACUGAGAAGCUCGUGAGAUGUUUCUGGAGAUGAGUGCAGGAGCCAGUAUGUGCCCUACAGUGACCUGCCAUGCAGGACGAAGCAGCAACAUCCACCUUCCCAGAGCAGCUAUGGAGAGUAACAGCACAUUGAUCCCAUCAGUAAGGCAUGGGCUGCUUUGAA
This is a long non-coding RNA of Anas platyrhynchos (mallard), 334 nucleotides long. RefSeq lists it as uncharacterized. The record is from RefSeq and is a predicted model, not a curated record. NCBI's taxonomy places the organism in Eukaryota, Metazoa, Chordata, Aves, Anseriformes, Anatidae.